Molecule: ribosomal RNA, 483 nt
Filed under: uncultured bacterium
Lineage: Bacteria
Description: partial 16S ribosomal RNA
Rfam family: Bacterial small subunit ribosomal RNA
Source: RNAcentral
ACUCAAAUGAAUUGACGGGGACCCGCACAAGCGGUGGAGCGUGUUGUUUAAUUCGACGGUAAGCGAAGAACCUUACCAAGGCUUGACAUCCUGCCAAGUCCAGCGAAAGCUGGAUGUGCCUUCGGGCCGCAGUGACAGGUGAUGCAUGGCCGUCGUCAGCUCGUGUCGUGAGAUGUUUGGUUAAGUCCAUCAACGAGCGCAACCCUUAUAGUUAGUUGAAUUUUUCUAGCUAGACUGCCCCGGUAACGGGGAGGAAGGAGGGGAUGAUGUCAGGUCAUUAUUUCCCUUACGCCUUGGGCUACAAACACGCUACAAUGGCCGGUACAAAGGGCAGCGAAGUCGCGAGGCGGAGCAAAUCCCAUCAAAGCCGGUCUCAGUUCGGAUAGUAGGCUGAAACUCGCCUGCUUGAAGCUGGAAUCGCUAGUAACGGUAGGUCAGCACACUACCGUGAAUACGUUCCCGGGUCUUGCACACACCGCCCGU